UGGGAAGUACGCAAACAGGCAAAGCGGCUUGCCUUUGAAGCAGGUGUUUGGGGGUUCGAUUCCCUCCUUCCCAG
This 74-nucleotide transfer RNA is filed under the name Lusitaniella coriacea LEGE 07167. RNAcentral describes it as "tRNA-Gln". It matches the Rfam family "tRNA". From Rfam's summary of the family: Transfer RNA (tRNA) molecules are approximately 80 nucleotides in length. Their secondary structure includes four short double-helical elements and three loops (D, anti-codon, and T loops). The record is from RNAcentral. RNAcentral also lists the same sequence under 1 other name. Lineage: Bacteria; Bacillati; Cyanobacteriota; Cyanophyceae; Spirulinales; Lusitaniellaceae.